AGAAAAUGAGCGAACGUACUUGGUAUUGUAACGUACACUCGGACAGUAUUAGACACGUGUAGUGGACACACGCGUUAUCGGGACAAACCGUCACAAACGAUCACAUGCUAUAAUUUCGUCGGUAAACAGGGCAAGGCGAACGCUACGUACUGUAUUAUUUUUCGAAAAAAGGUUGCGAAAGCGGAACAUCGAGCUGCGACUUUGUGUACCUUCAGCGCGCGUGUGUGCGCGUGCGAAUGAGUGUAUACCACAUUCGUAUACCAAACCCUCUCGGCGCUUUUUAACAUACUGGCUUACCAUAUAUUUAUAUCGUUCUGUAAAACAACAACAACAACGGUGGUAUCGACACGUAUGUAUUCUACACGCCUUGUCAUGUAAUUGUGCCAUAAGAACAAAUCGACGAAGUAUACCUAACAUUAAUUUUUGCUGAAAUCGAUGACAUUCGACGGCUAAUGCGACAUGUGAUUAUUACAGAAUAGUUAAAUACAUUCUGUGCUGGGAUCUUAAAAUAAAACAAACCAUGAACUAAGUAUAAACAGUUGUUUAAAAUGUUCACGUAAUGAUUGCUGGGCACUCGAAACGAUGAGUUACAUUCCUAAAGGAACUCGGUUGAUGCAAGAUCAGAACGAAAAUUUGAUGCGAUAUAGUUUACAUUAAUGUUCAAUAACAACUGUGGAUCGGGUCGAGUAGAUGGUUGUCGAUUGUAAGAGAUUUUAUGAAGAUUUAGUAGGUAAAGUAAAUGUUGUGACGUAUCGAUAGUUUAGUAAAUAUGUUGUAUAUUUUCUUACGUUACAAAUUUAUAUAAA
Molecule: long non-coding RNA, 806 nt
Organism: Sipha flava (yellow sugarcane aphid)
Lineage: Eukaryota; Metazoa; Arthropoda; Insecta; Hemiptera; Aphididae
Exons: 5
Source: RefSeq, a predicted model, not a curated record